UUAAAAGCAUUAUCUCUUUCCUCUCUGACCUAUCCUUCAAAUUUGUCUUCACAUCCAGUGAGAUUGUAGAGGAUGCACACAUUUCUGGGAUUGGGAUCAGGAGGGGCUGAGUGAGGAUGCAUUCUCUCCGGGAUUAAUGGGCUAUCUGUGUAUUUAUGUGACUAACGUUCACUCCCUCUACAGUUACGCUGCCUUGGUGUAGAAAUAGCUUCCAGAGAUCCAUCUGCUCAUUGUGAACACCUCCCUGUGGUGACGCCAGCAACACGGCCAGAACCUGUGUCACAAUGUGCAAGCCUCCUAUGGUGCCUGGAACUGGGGGAACUUAAGUGAUGGAGAAGAAACACGGGAGAAAGCUGCAGCAUGGGAAGUGGGCUGCGGAAGACGUUUUCACCCGUCAAAUUUUGUGUACGCCACAAGCUGUGAAAUACAGAUGGGUAUAGUCUUCUCAUAAGACUGCACUCAGAAGAACAUGUGAUUCUGGAUUGUGCCAAGGUGAUAAUUAAAACUAACCAUGAAAAACUACAGGAAAAAAUACAUCAAGCAGGUCUCAGUAGGAAACAGAAUUCUAAUUCAGAAGACUCCACGUGCAAUCGCGAUCAACCAUGACGGACUAUAUUAAAGGCCCCUGC
Myodes glareolus (Bank vole) is the source of this 629-nucleotide non-coding RNA. The record is from RefSeq and is a predicted model, not a curated record. NCBI's taxonomy places the organism in Eukaryota, Metazoa, Chordata, Mammalia, Rodentia, Cricetidae.